UACGGCCAUAUGAUGUUGAAAUACCGGUUCCCGUACGAUCACACAAGUUAAGCAACGUCGAGCUUUGUCAGUACCUGGUUGGGUAACCGCUUUGGAAUACCAGGUGCUGUGA
Acanthosepion pharaonis is the source of this 112-nucleotide non-coding RNA. The record is from the annotation of a GenBank genome assembly. NCBI's taxonomy places the organism in Eukaryota, Metazoa, Mollusca, Cephalopoda, Sepiida, Sepiidae.